Scophthalmus maximus (turbot) is the source of this 955-nucleotide long non-coding RNA. RefSeq lists it as uncharacterized. The record is from RefSeq and is a predicted model, not a curated record. NCBI's taxonomy places the organism in Eukaryota, Metazoa, Chordata, Actinopteri, Pleuronectiformes, Scophthalmidae. The transcript has 3 exons.
GAUACGAUAUGAUACGAUACGAUACUCUCCACUUUAUUUAAUUUGACUUUUCUUGCACAUGUUACACUGUCCAUAUAACGUCCAGCGAGGUGAAACAGGACUAAUGUUUAGUCUAUAGGUUGUUUUUUCCACCAUGUCAACAAAAAAUAUAAGACUCCUUUUGAAGUUGGUUUUGCUAAAGCAUCAUAUUUACUCCCAUUAAUUUCCAAGCAGCAAAAAAAAAAACACCUGCAGUUUUUCUAUUAAAGAUGUAAACAUGACGCCAAUAUUCAGGAUGUGACUUUUUGGAUUAACUGGAAACGCGUCCUGGUCUGUUUCUGUUGGAGGUUUCUUUCUUGUUAGAACGUUUUGUUUUAGAAGUGCUUGUUCAUUACGGGAACAAUUCUAAGAUCUCAUGUAAAGUGCCUAUAUCGUGUGUACAGAGUCAGAAGAGGUACUGAAGCAGUUCCUCUGAAACGCCUCACCGAUGAUGGAGCGGGCUAUUAAAAGGCCGUGAUACUCAGCAAACCAAACAAAUUUGUCUCAGUUUGGGACUAAAAAUAUCCUUUUGUGGUUUUUCUUUUCACGGUUCAGGAAACAACUGUCAGACAAUCAGCUGCGUGACGCAACUCCUCAGGAACGCCGGGCGAGAAACCCACAGGAAUGUUUCAAAUUCCUGCAGGGAAGUUUUGCUGACGUCACUCUUUCACUGUGAAGUCAAUGUACACGAUGCUGAUGAUGUGAUGAACAUGAACAAGACAGAUGAAGUGUAAUGGAAAAUGUGAUUGUACCUCCGAAGCACCAAAUACCAUCUGUACCCAUAAAGACGGGUUUACGUCCUAUCAGAGGAAUUGUACUGUAACUAUGAGAUUACCACUUGUAAAAAGCAUUCUUUCAUGACAUCAUCCGAGUUGAAAUUGGAAACUCAGAUUUUUGUAAAAGCUCCAAGAAAAUCAGAUUUUAUAUGUUAACACAA